RNAcentral lists this ribosomal RNA (147 nucleotides) under Ochrophyta sp. RNAcentral describes it as "partial small subunit ribosomal RNA". It matches the Rfam family "Eukaryotic small subunit ribosomal RNA", at positions 1296 to 1461 of the family's 1831-position model. The record is from RNAcentral.
AGUUGGUGGAGUGAUUUGUCUGCUUAAUUGCGAUAACGAACGAGACCCCCGCCUGCUAAAUAGUUCGCUUAAUGAUUAUUCAUUGAGUAGAGCUUCUUAGAGGGACUUUGCGUGACUAACGCAAGGAAGUUGGGGGCAAUAACAGGU